CACACACACACACACACACUCCAGACAUGAGUGUCGGAGCAGCUUUGAGAGAAAUUCAAGAGCAGCCGAAAGAAACCAGGAGACGUGUUAAGAAGAAAGGAAUACGCUUUGACAUCAUGCUGGACGAGGAGGAGGAGGAGAAAGGAGGGAGCAGAGAAGAGGAGGAGAGGGAUGGAGAGAAGAAUAGAGAGAGGAGUAGAGAAGAGGAGGAAAGGGAUGGAGAGAAGAGAGAAGAGAGAGGAGAAGAGAAGAGGAGGAAAGGGAUGGAGAGAAGAGAAGAGAGAGGAGAAGAGAAGAGGAGGAAAGGGAUGGAGAGAAGAGAAGAGAGAGGAGCAGAGAAGAGGAGGAGAGGGAUGGAGAGAAGAGAAGAGAGAGGAGUAGAGAAGAGAAGAUGGUGGAAAAGAGGAGAGAAGAGGACGAGACGGAUGACGGGAGCAGAGAAGAGGAGAAGGACGAAGAGAGGAGAGAGGAGGAGAAGAAUGAAGAGAGGAGAGA
This is a long non-coding RNA of Engraulis encrasicolus (European anchovy), 495 nucleotides long. RefSeq lists it as uncharacterized. The transcript is spliced from 3 exons. The record is from RefSeq and is a predicted model, not a curated record. Lineage: Eukaryota; Metazoa; Chordata; Actinopteri; Clupeiformes; Engraulidae.